This 253-nucleotide ribosomal RNA is filed under the name uncultured bacterium. RNAcentral describes it as "partial 16S ribosomal RNA". It matches the Rfam family "Bacterial small subunit ribosomal RNA", at positions 524 to 776 of the family's 1533-position model. The record is from RNAcentral.
GACGUAGGAGGCGAGCGUUAUCCGGAUUCACUGGGCGUAAAGCGCAUGUAGGCGGUUGCACAAGUCCGUUGUUAAAGCCCCUGGCUCAACUGGGGGAGGUCAAUGGAGACUGUGCGACUUGAGGGCAAUAGAGGCACGUGGAACUCCCGGUGUAGCGGUGGAAUGCGUAGAGAUCGGGAAGAACACCAGUGGCGAAGGCGACGUGCUGGGUUGCACCUGACGCUGAGAUGCGAAAGCGUGGGGAGCAAACAGG